GACAGAAGGUGCAAGCGUUACUCGGAAUUACUGGGCGUAAAGCGUCUGUAGGCGAUUUGCCACGUCUGGGGUAAAGCACGGAGCCUAACUCCGUGUACGUCCUGGAAACGAGCAGAAUUGAGUCACUCAGAGGCACCUGGAAUGCCAUGUGUAGGGGUAAAAUCCGUUGAUCCAUGGUAGAACGCCAAAAGCGAAGGCAGGGUGCUGGGGGUGUACUGACGCUGAGAGACGAAAGCGU
RNAcentral lists this ribosomal RNA (238 nucleotides) under uncultured bacterium. RNAcentral's name for it is "partial 16S ribosomal RNA". It matches the Rfam family "Bacterial small subunit ribosomal RNA", at positions 524 to 762 of the family's 1533-position model. The record is from RNAcentral.